AUCUUCACACUUUAAAAUCAAUAUGGAAAAGUAGAUCAGUAUAUCAAAUGUUUUGCAGCCUUUAAUCCACCAUGGCUGUGCUCUAAAUCCUAAAGAGCUGCAUAUAAUGUCACAACUGACCAAUCAGAAUCAGGUAUUCCUGUGAAAUACAGAGGAUUAUGUUGGUCUGCCAAAACUGUUCCUUACCUCAUCACUGGCAUGCUAGCCGAGUGCUGUAUGGAGCGUAUACUAUCCGUCAGCAGCAAAGAAGAGCAAAUAGGAGUUAGCUAAAGCUGUGAGUAUUAGACGCAUUACAAGAGGGGAAAUAAAGUCAUGCACCUACACAUGUCUGAGUUUAUAAUCAGCAUGAAAA
Rhinichthys klamathensis goyatoka is the source of this 352-nucleotide long non-coding RNA. RefSeq lists it as uncharacterized. The record is from RefSeq and is a predicted model, not a curated record. The transcript has 2 exons. NCBI's taxonomy places the organism in Eukaryota, Metazoa, Chordata, Actinopteri, Cypriniformes, Leuciscidae.